UGUGAAUGAAUUGUAAUGUAAAAUAAUUUGAUGGUUGGGGGUCACCUCAACAUGAAAAACUGUAUUAAAGGGUCACGGCAUUAGAAAGGUUGAGAACCAUUGCUGGCUUGAGAGGGAGGAA
Molecule: long non-coding RNA, 121 nt
Organism: Pipistrellus kuhlii (Kuhl's pipistrelle)
Lineage: Eukaryota; Metazoa; Chordata; Mammalia; Chiroptera; Vespertilionidae
Exons: 3
Source: RefSeq, a predicted model, not a curated record